CCUACGGGAGGCAGCAGUGAGGAAUAUUGGUCAAUGGACGAGAGUCUGAACCAGCCAAGUAGCGUGAAGGAUGACUGCCCUAUGGGUUGUAAACUUCUUUUAUAUGGGAAUAAAACGUUCCACGUGUGGGAUUUUGUAUGUACCAUAUGAAUAAGGAUCGGCUAACUCCGUGCCAGCAGCCGCGGUAAUACGGAGGAUCCGAGCGUUAUCCGGAUUUGUUGGGUUUAAAGGGAGCGUAGGUGGAUUGUUAAGUCAGUGGUAAAAUCGCGGGGCUCAACCUCGCUCCGCCGUUGAAACUGGCGUUCUUGAGUGGGCGAGAAGUAUGCGGAAUGCGUGGUGUAGCGGUGAAAUGCAUAGAUAUCACGCAGAACUCCGAUUGCGAAGGCCGCAUACCGGCGCUCAACUGACGCUCAUGCACGAAAGUGUGGGUAUCGAACAGGAUUAGAUACCCGAGUAGUC
RNAcentral lists this ribosomal RNA (459 nucleotides) under uncultured bacterium. RNAcentral describes it as "partial 16S ribosomal RNA". It matches the Rfam family "Bacterial small subunit ribosomal RNA", at positions 338 to 795 of the family's 1533-position model. The record is from RNAcentral.